CCCUUAGAUGUUCUGGGCCGCACGCGCGCUACAAUGGUCUUCGCAAACGGAUGCAUUCUCGAAGGAGAAUGCCAAUCUUGGAAUCUAUGCCUUGGUCGGGACAGUUGCUUGCAAUUUUUCGACUCGAACCAGGAAUUCCUUGUAAUCGUGAUUCAUCACAUCACGAUGAAUACGUCCCUGCCCUUUGUACACACCGCCCGUCGCUCCUACCGAUCGAAGAGUUAGGUGAAUUGUUUUGCUCGAUAAGAUUUGACUAUGGUCAACUCUCGUUGUGAAAUUCUGUGAAUCUGACUGUUUAGAGGAAGGAAAAGUCGUAACA
Molecule: ribosomal RNA, 319 nt
Filed under: uncultured eukaryote
Lineage: Eukaryota
Description: partial 18S ribosomal RNA
Rfam family: Eukaryotic small subunit ribosomal RNA
Source: RNAcentral